RNAcentral lists this transfer RNA (72 nucleotides) under Myxococcales bacterium. RNAcentral describes it as "tRNA-Thr". Lineage: Bacteria; Pseudomonadati; Myxococcota; Myxococcia; Myxococcales. The record is from RNAcentral.
GCCCGCGGAGCUCGACUGGCCGAGCACCCGCCUUGUAUCCGGGAGGAUCCGGCUCGACUCCGGACGCGGGCU